Molecule: ribosomal RNA, 253 nt
Filed under: uncultured bacterium
Lineage: Bacteria
Description: partial 16S ribosomal RNA
Rfam family: Bacterial small subunit ribosomal RNA
Source: RNAcentral
GACGUAGGAUGCAAGCGUUGUCCGGAUUUAUUGGGCGUAAAGAGUUCGUAGGCGGUUAGUUAAGUUUGGUGUUAAAUCCCGUGGCUCAACCACGGAGCUGCAUCGAAUACUGGCUAACUUGAGUGUGGUAGAGGCGAGUGGAAUUCCCAGUGUAGCGGUGAAAUGCAUAGAUAUUGGGAAGAACACCGGUGGCGUAGGCGACUCGCUGGGCCAUAACUGACGCUGAGGAACGAAAGCCAGGGGAGCGAAUGGG